AGAGAAGAUGCGCUACAUCAGGUC
Molecule: non-coding RNA, 24 nt
Filed under: Arabidopsis thaliana (thale cress)
Lineage: Eukaryota; Viridiplantae; Streptophyta; Magnoliopsida; Brassicales; Brassicaceae
Source: RNAcentral